UGCAGUCGAGCGGUAAGGCCCUUCGGGGUACACGAGCGGCGAACGGGUGAGUAACACGUGGGUGAUCUGCCUCGUACUCUGGGAUAAGCCUGGGAAACUGGGUCUAAUACCGGAUAUGACCACGAGUCGCAUGGUUUGUGGUGGAAAGAUUUAUCGGUGCGAGAUGGGCCCGCGGCCUAUCAGCUUGUUGGUGGGGUAAUGGCCUACCAAGGCGACGACGGGUAGCCGGCCUGAGAGGGCGACCGGCCACACUGGGACUGAGACACGGCCCAGACUCCUACGGGAGGCAGCAGUGGGGAAUAUUGCACAAUGGGCGGAAGCCUGAUGCAGCGACGCCGCGUGCGGGAUGACGGCCUUCGGGUUGUAAACCGCUUUCGACAGGGACGAAGCGUGAGUGACGGUACCUGUAGAAGAAGCACCGGCCAACUACGUGCCAGCAGCCGCGGUAAUACGUAGGGUGCGAGCGUUGUCCGGAAUUACUGGGCGUAAAGAGCUUGUAGGCGGUUUGUCGCGUCGUUCGUGAAAACUUGGGGCUCAACCCCAAGCU
RNAcentral lists this ribosomal RNA (547 nucleotides) under Nocardia wallacei. RNAcentral describes it as "bacterial SSU rRNA". It matches the Rfam family "Bacterial small subunit ribosomal RNA", at positions 56 to 621 of the family's 1533-position model. Lineage: Bacteria; Bacillati; Actinomycetota; Actinomycetes; Mycobacteriales; Nocardiaceae. The record is from RNAcentral.